GACAAAGGAAAAGGAACUCAAAUACGGCGCGUGAUUACGGGGAUUAGGGAACGACAUAACUACAGAAGAUAUCUCAAAUGGGCAAUCAAUCGGUGAAACUGCCAAAGCCAAUCGAAUCCAUCAUCCAUGGAAACAAUCAUGAUUGUAGCACCGAUUUUAGUGAAUCUUUUUUGCAAAUUUGUUCUUCAUUCUGAGUUUGAGUUCUGGCAAAUUAACAAUCAGUGAAUCAGAUUUCGAAAUCUGAAAUUACCAACGGUUGUUGGCGGACGGCUGUUUUACUGUUCAUGAGUGGCAGAUUGCUCACAUAGCAGCAAAGGCGCAAAAUCUAACUUUUAAGGCCUCAAUUUUGUAUUUCGCUUAAGGCCACCAUAAUGGUUGAGCCGGCCCUGUUUGAGAAGAAGGAAUGUGGAUAUUACUUCGAUCAUGUACCCUUUCUGCGAUGAGUAUAAGGAAACGGUGGAUCAUUUAUUCACUGCAUAUUCGGUGGCUAUUAGGGUGUGAGCGGCUGUUAGUGCGUGGUGCAAUAUUCCCCCGAUCUUCGUUUUUGAGUUCAAAGAUUUAAUGAAUACUCAUAACUCUAUACAGGUUGGGAAGAAAGCAAAAAAAGAUUAUUCUGGGGCUAGUUAUUAUUUCGUGUUGGAGUAUUUGGAAAGGUAGGAACGAGUUGGUCUUCAAUCAGAUCAGGAGAAGUCCGCAAGAUAUUAUGAUAGAGACUAAGUCGAGAGGUUUUGGUGGAUUAAAAAUAGAUCUUCAUGUAAAUAUAUUAGUUGGAAGGAGUGCUGUAAAUAUCUCAUGUAUAUGUUGUAAGUUUUAGCCCUUUGUCUGUUUGGGUCGGAGGUAUUGUUUUGUUUGGCCUUUUGCCCGUUUGG
This 869-nucleotide long non-coding RNA is filed under the name Helianthus annuus (common sunflower). The record is from RNAcentral. Lineage: Eukaryota; Viridiplantae; Streptophyta; Magnoliopsida; Asterales; Asteraceae.